CCUUGUGGUGGAGCCCUCUUUUAUGUUUAACCUUUUUUUUUUGGGUUAAAACGUUAUGAUUCCAUAACUUUUGGACCGUGAGGCCAAACUUGGCAUGUGAUAUCUUUUCGGAAGGCCCAAAGACAGCCCUCCGACGAAAUAAGCAGGACAAUGGAAAUUUUCCAUUGACUUUUUGUCGACCCUAAAUUUUGACCUUUGAGUACUUUUUCGGGCAUUUUCGUGAUUUGGCCAAUAUUACGGACCCAAAAUUACUUGUUCAAGCAUUGUUUUCGAAUUUUUUCAUGCAUCAAAGCUCGUUAAGAUUAGAUGGGGUAUCCCUACAUAGCGGGUGGGAUCCACGGCGAAUGGUUCAUCAAGUCUUCAAAAAAGAAUAUAUACGAUUGCAUUGCAUAUACUAACGGAUGCGAUCAUACCAGCACUAAUGCACCGGAUCCCAUCAGAACUCCGCAGUUAAGCGUGCUGGGGCGAGAAUAGUACUAGGAUGGGUGAACUCCCGGGGAGUAAGCGUGCUGGGGCGAGAAUAGUACUAGGAUGGGUGAACUCCCGGGGA
RNAcentral lists this ribosomal RNA (550 nucleotides) under Arabidopsis thaliana (thale cress). Lineage: Eukaryota; Viridiplantae; Streptophyta; Magnoliopsida; Brassicales; Brassicaceae. The record is from RNAcentral.